RNAcentral lists this ribosomal RNA (1546 nucleotides) under Acidovorax temperans. RNAcentral's name for it is "bacterial SSU rRNA". It matches the Rfam family "Bacterial small subunit ribosomal RNA". Lineage: Bacteria; Pseudomonadati; Pseudomonadota; Betaproteobacteria; Burkholderiales; Comamonadaceae. The record is from RNAcentral.
UUUAUGGAGAGUUUGAUCCUGGCUCAGGAUGAACGCUGGCGGCGUGCCUAAUACAUGCAAGUCGAGCGAACGGACGAGAAGCUUGCUUCUCUGAUGUUAGCGGCGGACGGGUGAGUAACACGUGGAUAACCUACCUAUAAGACUGGGAUAACUUCGGGAAACCGGAGCUAAUACCGGAUAAUAUUUUGAACCGCAUGGUUCAAAAGUGAAAGACGGUCUUGCUGUCACUUAUAGAUGGAUCCGCGCUGCAUUAGCUAGUUGGUAAGGUAACGGCUUACCAAGGCAACGAUGCAUAGCCGACCUGAGAGGGUGAUCGGCCACACUGGAACUGAGACACGGUCCAGACUCCUACGGGAGGCAGCAGUAGGGAAUCUUCCGCAAUGGGCGAAAGCCUGACGGAGCAACGCCGCGUGAGUGAUGAAGGUCUUCGGAUCGUAAAACUCUGUUAUUAGGGAAGAACAUAUGUGUAAGUAACUGUGCACAUCUUGACGGUACCUAAUCAGAAAGCCACGGCUAACUACGUGCCAGCAGCCGCGGUAAUACGUAGGUGGCAAGCGUUAUCCGGAAUUAUUGGGCGUAAAGCGCGCGUAGGCGGUUUUUUAAGUCUGAUGUGAAAGCCCACGGCUCAACCGUGGAGGGUCAUUGGAAACUGGAAAACUUGAGUGCAGAAGAGGAAAGUGGAAUUCCAUGUGUAGCGGUGAAAUGCGCAGAGAUAUGGAGGAACACCAGUGGCGAAGGCGACUUUCUGGUCUGUAACUGACGCUGAUGUGCGAAAGCGUGGGGAUCAAACAGGAUUAGAUACCCUGGUAGUCCACGCCGUAAACGAUGAGUGCUAAGUGUUAGGGGGUUUCCGCCCCUUAGUGCUGCAGCUAACGCAUUAAGCACUCCGCCUGGGGAGUACGACCGCAAGGUUGAAACUCAAAGGAAUUGACGGGGACCCGCACAAGCGGUGGAUGAUGUGGUUUAAUUCGAUGCAACGCGAAAAACCUUACCCACCUUUGACAUGUACGGAAUCCUUUAGAGAUAGAGGAGUGCUCGAAAGAGAGCCGUAACACAGGUGCUGCAUGGCUGUCGUCAGCUCGUGUCGUGAGAUGUUGGGUUAAGUCCCGCAACGAGCGCAACCCUUGCCAUUAGUUGCUACGAAAGGGCACUCUAAUGGGACUGCCGGUGACAAACCGGAGGAAGGUGGGGAUGACGUCAAGUCCUCAUGGCCCUUAUAGGUGGGGCUACACACGUCAUACAAUGGCUGGUACAGAGGGUUGCCAACCCGCGAGGGGGAGCUAAUCCCAUAAAGCCAGUCGUAGUCCGGAUCGCAGUCUGCAACUCGACUGCGUGAAGUCGGAAUCGCUAGUAAUCGCGGAUCAGAAUGUCGCGGUGAAUACGUUCCCGGGUCUUGUACACACCGCCCGUCACACCAUGGGAGCGGGUUCUGCCAGAAGUAGGUAGCCUAACCGUAAGGAGGGCGCUUACCACGGCAGGGUUCGUGACUGGGGUGAAGUCGUAACAAGGUAGCCGUAUCGGAAGGUGCGGCUGGAUCACCUCCUUU